Molecule: unclassified non-coding RNA, 207 nt
Filed under: Hevea brasiliensis (rubber tree)
Lineage: Eukaryota; Viridiplantae; Streptophyta; Magnoliopsida; Malpighiales; Euphorbiaceae
Source: RNAcentral
ACCGUCUAUUACUUUAUCCUAUGUUAUGUAUAUAUGCAUAUUGAUAUGAAGAACACUUAUGCAUACUGAUAUGAAGAACGACUUCAUUGAAUUGUCCUGUUUAAGUCAUUUACUUUCCUAGUAACACCUACAAUGAUUCUUGUAACCCUUUUGAAAUCAUGUUUGUGUAAUAUCAUUUAAUGGCCAUUUUAUUUUUCCAUAAUUCAG